RNAcentral lists this long non-coding RNA (3460 nucleotides) under Volvox carteri. RNAcentral's name for it is "long non-coding RNA (VCAR_LNC000638)". Lineage: Eukaryota; Viridiplantae; Chlorophyta; Chlorophyceae; Chlamydomonadales; Volvocaceae. The record is from RNAcentral.
ACAAAACGUACAUGACUUGCAGGAAAGAGAGUGAACGGAUGGAGCUUGGUUGCCGAUUGGGUGGGAAGGCCGCAGGGCGUGUGGGGUAGGAUGGGCCGGACUCUAGGGGUGCGCGUGGGAUGCGAUAUGGGGUGGCGACGGUAUCUGAGACGUGCGAAGGUUAACCCCGAUCUGGGUUUAAGUCGACCCAUUUGGGUUCUUGAGGGGCUGGAUGCAGAGGACUUCCGUUUGAGUUUGCACUCCGCUGCUGGCGCUGCGACUGCUGGCGCUGCUAUUGUUGAUCAACUUGCUUUGUUUCUGUUCUGGACAUGCGUGCACGUAUUCAUGUGGGUCAGGAUCCAUCUGUCGUUUUUGUUGAUUUUUCAAAUUCUGUUCUGACUCCGCAGAGAUGGGAUCUGGGUCAGCCAUCGACAACCGUACGGAGACGCAUCACCAAGCACAUGCCGAUUGAGUCCGCAGGGGUCCAACUUACGCCUAGCUUGCCAGUUGCUCUAAGUUUCAGCACGGCUGGCACAGGCGAUAUAAGCAUAAGUGAUGCCAGGAGGUUCCCAAACGCUGGUACCACGUUGAGCAGCACAACCGAAGGCAUGUUGCUGGUGUCGGGCAAGGGUUUGACUUAUUACAGAUGCCAAUCGUCAAGGUAUUGCACCGUUAUAUAACUAGCAAACCGUAUUUUAUCCUUACGUCAAUUGUCAGCGACAGCAUAAUAAUUGAAAUCCCUGCAACUAUACUUGGUUUCUUUUAGAAUGAGGGAUCAGAAGGAAUGAUUUACGAUGCAUGUACGCUCGGGUUUGCAUAUCCUGCGCUCAUUUGCGUGCCGGAACAGUUAAACGGCCCGUACGGAAGGCGCAUGCAAGUAACCUGCACGCUGCCAGCCACAUUUGCAUUGGAUAGCUGACCAAACCCUUGGACACACUGCUACAUGAAGCGUCCAGCAGUUUCACUUUUCGGGCAACGUGUGCAAGGAUGGUUUCCAAGGAAUCAUGAGCUUAACAAGUACUAAAGUGGCAGGCGAGCAAGCACACUCCCCGGAAAAGUUUGGAUUCAUUAACUCCAGCAUCGCAUACUAAACUCCUGGGUGGUGGCAGUGCAAGUCAUCACAAGUGAUUGACGCCGCCAUCUAACCCAACACGGCCAAUGCAUCUCAACCUCUCUAUGCGCAUCCUAUUCGGUGGAGCGAGAGCGACACCUUUGCGUUACACCCUGGAACACCAUCGCGUACACGUCGCGUACCCUGACCACCCAGGUCCCCCUUGCGCCCUCCCUAGGCAGGCACCCACCAGGACACAUAUUCCAAACCCGUGCGGUGAUGCAAUCAACCCAUGCAUCUCUCUCUCCCAUCCUCUUCAAGAACAAGAAAAAGCAACAACAGACCGAUCAAGCGAGCAAAAGAGCUCGAAACAAGCCAGCAAAAAGUAACACACAUAUCGCUCUGAUGUCAGAGGAGCAGGCCACGCCACAACGAAACUAGGCACGGGUUAACAAGGAGGUAACCGGAUCUUUCAAAAUGUGCGGUGGGUUUCGGGGCGAGUGGAGCGACCCCGUCCCUCAGAAACGGCAAGGGCUGGGAGCCGUACCACCCACUACCACUCCAAGUGCAAGUGCGAUGCAUAGCCCGGAAAGAAUCGUCCUGCGCCCAGCCGCGCGAUGCACUGCACUGUACUUCACUGUACUGCAUCGUACUGCACGCGCACAUGUGUGCACUUUUGUAUUGUUGUACACCGAGCUCUCGGUGUGCGUCACACUUCAGUUUUGCCACAAAAGAAUUUCAACUGCAACACCACCCCACAACAGUGAGGAAGCACGAACAGAUUAGUCAUGCGAGGUUACUGACAAUGUGCACAUCGUGCACGUCGGGAGGAAGGGGUACGACGAAGCGCAGGCGAACCACUGCGGGGGGAGGAAGGCGGAGGAGGACGACCAGAACGAUGGGUGGGAAACCCAACAUGAAAGUGGGUAUACCGCAAAAUGAAGAGGCCACGAGGCAAGCAGCAGCUGUCGGCAAAAGCGUGUUACCAGCAAACACUAAGACAAACACCCUAGUGCCGCAAAGCACACAACUAGUAGCAUACAUCUAAACAUACGCACAUACAGGCACACACACGCUCCCGGGCGGGUGCAAUGCGUAAGCGCUCUUCCUCACGUGGAAACGCAAUACGUUACGUCGUUGGCAACGCCGUUCCCAUCCACUGUCCAUUCCUCAUACAAAAGGCAGGUACAAAAGGUACGGCAAACACACGUCGAUACACCCCUUCCUCCCCCUCGCCACUCUCUCACUUCUUCUUUUCCAAUCUCUCACUCCCAAUCACGAUAAUCAUCAACACCCACACACUCCUAAAACACACCAAACACAGAUAUACACUUCCCUCCCUCCCCUUCCUCCCCUCCCCUCCACUCUCCCCCUUCUUCGUUGGGUGACACUCCCUUUCCGUUCUGGCAUUUUCGCAUCCCGACGCGCACACAUACGCAGCACUCAUCCCCGGGCUGCUGAUGCGGGUGUACGGCGGGGCCGUACGAGGGCCUCCUCGUCACUCUCCGUUCCCGCCCUCCCGAUGUCGUACGUGGACCCGGCCUUUGGCGUAGGUAGGUGAUGAAGGGGGAGGGGGGAGGGGCCGGAGGGAGUUCGGAAAGGGGGAAAAGUGGACGAGAAAGCGGCAAGGAAGGAGAUAAAACACGGGUUGUGGUAAGGAGAGAUACGCGAGACGGGUAGGAGACAGACAGACAGAUAGACAGACAGACAGAACGGACGUGUGCACGGGCGGAUGAGAGCGUUUGUAUGAAUCCGGAUCAUAUCUAUGCCGUGUCCGAUGUUGAAUACAUCUUGAGGGUCUUUCGACCCUCGUGUGGCUCGCAGGUGCUGUUCCGAGAAAGCCGGGUGGGGAGGGGGAGUCGCCGGGGGGUGCUGAAGACGCGAGAGGAUGCGAGAGGAUGCGAGAUCUGAAGCGGGACUCCGACUCACUACAGAAGGGCCUCAUGUGCGGAGCUGAUGCAUAGGGAUGACUCAGUGACGUGCGGUAAUAAUGAGCUCAAAGGGACGGGCGGGUACACAAAACACACAUACAUACACACAUACACACACGGGCGCAGGAACGAAAAGGUGGCCCCUCCUCCCAACCCCGGCCAGAAUGGGAGGUCGCCCACAAAGCCAGCCAGCUUCGGGCAGGUAUUCGUGUAACUGCAGACUUUCGGAGGCGGUACUUCUUGGGAAUUCUACCCUUCAGUUUGUACAAUGUAUUCAGUUUAUUCAGUUUUGUUGGGUUCCAUCCCCCAUCUGUGAACCUCUCAUCAGCUCGCUCACCACGUAGUCGACAACGAACUUGGGUGGCAGGUGACCGUUGAUAAUUCGGUUGAUGGUUGUGAACAGGGGGUAGUUGCUCUCCCAGCAUCGGGCCUGAAGAGGAAAAGGGGGAUUACUGGAGUUACUGUGUAGCGGGUAGGUGGGAACUGAACUGACCAGGGG